UACGAAGGGGCUAGCGUUGCUCGGAAUCACUGGGCGUAAAGGGUGCGUAGGCGGGUUUUUAAGUCAGGGGUGAAAUCCUGGAGCUCAACUCCAGAACUGCCUUUGAUACUGAAGAUCUUGAGUUCGGGAGAGGUGAGUGGAACUGCGAGUGUAGAGGUGAAAUUCGUAGAUAUUCGCAAGAACACCAGUGGCGAAGGCGGACUCACGUGGCCCGUACUACCUGACGC
This 227-nucleotide ribosomal RNA is filed under the name uncultured bacterium. RNAcentral describes it as "partial 16S ribosomal RNA". It matches the Rfam family "Bacterial small subunit ribosomal RNA", at positions 524 to 746 of the family's 1533-position model. The record is from RNAcentral.